CGCGAAUCGCCCUUCGGGGUGCAGCAGGCGCGAAAACUUUGCAAUAAGCGAAAGCUUGACAGGGCUAUCCCGAGUGCCAUCCGCUGAGGAAGGCUUUUACCCAGUCUAGAACGCUGGGGGAAUAAGGAGAGGGCAAGUCUGGUGUCAGCCGCCGCGGUAAUACCAGCUCUCCGAGUGGUGUGGAUGUUUAUUGGGCCUAAAGCAUCCGUAGCUGGCUAAGUUAGUCCCUUGUUAAAUCCACCGAAUUAAUCGUUGGAUUGCGGGGGAUACUGCUUGGCUAGGGGACGAGAGAGGCAGACGGUAUUUCCGGGGUAGGGGUGAAAUCCUAUAAUCCCGGGAAGACCACCAGUGGCGAAGGCUGUCUGCUAGAACGCGCCCGACGGUGAGGGAUGAAAGCUGGGGGAGCGAACCGGAUUAGAUACCCGGGUAGUCCCAGCUGUAAACGAUGCAGGCUAGGUGUUUGGACGGCCACGUGCCGUUCUAGUGCCGCAGGGAAGCUGUUAAGCCUGCCGCCUGGGGAGUACGAUCGCAAGAUUGAAACUUAAAGGAAUUGGCGGGGGAGCAC
RNAcentral lists this ribosomal RNA (565 nucleotides) under uncultured archaeon. Its description in RNAcentral is "bacterial SSU rRNA". It matches the Rfam family "Archaeal small subunit ribosomal RNA", at positions 312 to 879 of the family's 1478-position model. The record is from RNAcentral.